Molecule: ribosomal RNA, 460 nt
Filed under: uncultured bacterium
Lineage: Bacteria
Description: partial 16S ribosomal RNA
Rfam family: Bacterial small subunit ribosomal RNA
Source: RNAcentral
CCUACGGGAGGCAGCAGUGAGGAAUAUUGGUCAAUGGGCGGGAGCCUGAACCAGCCAAGUCGCGUGAGGGAAGACGGUCCUAUGGAUUGUAAACCUCUUUAGGCGGGGAGCAAUGCCGGGCACGCGUGCCCGGAGGGAGAGUACCCGCAGCAUAAGCAUCGGCUAACUCCGUGCCAGCAGCCGCGGUAAUACGGAGGAUGCGAGCGUUAUCCGGAUUUAUGGGGUGUAAAGGGUGCGUAGGCGGAUUUUUAAGUCAGCGGUAAAAUGUCCGGGCUCAACCCGGGCCGGCCGUUGAAACUGGGGAUCUUGAGUGGGCGAGAGGUAUGCGGAAUGCCUGGUGUAGCGGUGAAAUGCAUAGAUAUAACGAAGAACUCCGAUGGCGAAGGCAGCAUACCGGCGCCCGACUGACGCUGAGGCACGAAAGCGUGGGGAUCGAACAGGAUUAGAUACCCGAGUAGUC